This 548-nucleotide ribosomal RNA is filed under the name Trichoderma asperellum. RNAcentral describes it as "eukaryotic LSU rRNA". The stretch from base 159 to 312 matches the Rfam family "5.8S ribosomal RNA". Lineage: Eukaryota; Fungi; Ascomycota; Sordariomycetes; Hypocreales; Hypocreaceae. The record is from RNAcentral.
GUGAACGUUACCAAACUGUUGCCUCGGCGGGGUCACGCCCCGGGUGCGUCGCAGCCCCGGAACCAGGCGCCCGCCGGAGGAACCAACCAAACUCUUUCUGUAGUCCCCUCGCGGACGUAUUUCUUUACAGCUCUGAGCAAAAAUUCAAAAUGAAUCAAAACUUUCAACAACGGAUCUCUUGGUUCUGGCAUCGAUGAAGAACGCAGCGAAAUGCGAUAAGUAAUGUGAAUUGCAGAAUUCAGUGAAUCAUCGAAUCUUUGAACGCACAUUGCGCCCGCCAGUAUUCUGGCGGGCAUGCCUGUCCGAGCGUCAUUUCAACCCUCGAACCCCUCCGGGGGAUCGGCGUUGGGGAUCGGGACCCCUCACACGGGUGCCGGCCCCUAAAUACAGUGGCGGUCUCGCCGCAGCCUCUCCUGCGCAGUAGUUUGCACAACUCGCACCGGGAGCGCGGCGCGUCCACGUCCGUAAAACACCCAACUUUCUGAAAUGUUGACCUCGGAUCAGGUAGGAAUACCCGCUGAACUUAAGCAUAUCAAUAAGCGGAGGAA